GGCAGAGAAGUAUUGAGAGGAAGGGGGCUGGACGAUUCCAAGAACUGGAAAAGGAAUAUAUUGACGAAGUUGGAUCAAUACAGUGGGUUAAAAAUGGAGAACUUGGUUUUAAUGGAGAAAGGAUUUUAGUUGGAGCAUAAGAUCAGGGACGUCUAACAAAUGGCUUCAAAAAAAAUGGCAGGGAUCUCACAAAAUGACAAAUGCCAAUUCUGUGAUCCAGCUGUUGAGAGUGUAAACCAUCUAACAUCAGCAUGCCAGAUCCUCAUGGCAGACAGACAUUAUACAUCCCGACAGAACAAGAUCAGUCAAUAUCUCCACUGGAAAGUUUGCAAGGAACUGGAGAUGGAACU
Molecule: long non-coding RNA, 350 nt
Organism: Thalassophryne amazonica
Lineage: Eukaryota; Metazoa; Chordata; Actinopteri; Batrachoidiformes; Batrachoididae
Exons: 4
Source: RefSeq, a predicted model, not a curated record